Long non-coding RNA from Physcomitrium patens, 988 nucleotides. RefSeq lists it as uncharacterized. The record is from RefSeq and is a predicted model, not a curated record. Lineage: Eukaryota; Viridiplantae; Streptophyta; Bryopsida; Funariales; Funariaceae.
AUGUAGAUUGUCUGAGCAGCAACCAAGUGCAUUGAACCCUGUAAACCCCCACCCCCUACUGUGCCCAGCUACGGUCCGGGAGCAGCACAGGAGGUUGAAGGGAGCAGUAAGCGAUCAUGUAUGUAGCCAAAGUCGGUCCCAACUAGGUUGUAAGUUUGAGGAGCUAUAAAUGAUGCCAUUUACUGCAAGCAGCGCAGUUAGAGCACUGCAGUGCUGAUUUCUUCUAUACUGUUCUAUGGGCUCAGAAUUCUCUUAGUCAUGUCGAAGUGAUGAGUCACUAUGGACUGUCAGCGUGCCAUGAUACUUGCGAGGACGCCCAUUCGAGCGAUUAAUUGUGAGGGAAGCGGUCGUUGUCCGGUACAACCACGUGAUCAGUGCGCUGUGGUGGUGCUGACAUUAAUUGACCAUCCACUUUUCGAGACAGAAACUCUGCUGGAGCCAUGUUGAUGGGUUGUCAUUGAUGGAUUGUUGUGCUGGAGCUUUCUUUACGAAUGGGCUUGCAAUCAUGAAUCUCACAUCAGUUUUUUGGCUUCUGACUGAGGCUUUGUGAUGAAACUCAGUAAGCAUCUAAGAUUGCGAUCGCUGAUAUGUCAUGGAGCUCGGUAGCUGAACGAAGUUUGAGUGGUUGACUGUAUUUCGUGUGAACCCAUGUGUGCAUUGUAGAUGGCUGUUGGUUGUAGCCAUGUACUGAUUGAGUUCCUUGAAUUGCCGUAUGGAUUGGUUGAGGUUUCCAACAGCGAAAAUCUGUAGGAAUACAUGGAAAACGAGUGUGUCAAGAGCUGGUGAGAAGCAAUGGAGGAGCAAUGUGAAGGGAAAACACAAAGUAACACCAAAUAGCAAUUGGGUUCAGCAUUAGGGUUUACUGUUCUGGUGAAGAAUUUUGCAAGGAAUUUCAAAAUAUGGCUUUGAAGUGUAUACCCUUCUGCCUUGUGUUUCUGAUUCCUUUGUUGCCUUCCCUUGUCUCAAUCACUUUUUGACUUCCACUGUA